Molecule: non-coding RNA, 312 nt
Organism: Pelobates cultripes (western spadefoot toad)
Lineage: Eukaryota; Metazoa; Chordata; Amphibia; Anura; Pelobatidae
Source: the annotation of a GenBank genome assembly
CCCUUGAUGCCAAAAACCCUACAAAGGUAGUGCUUAUGGUAUUGGAAAGUAAAAACACAGAUGCCCAUUCCCUCCCAAUCCAUCUAGGCCUCUGACUGCAAAAUCCUCUCACUUCUGGCAGCAAAUCACAACAGAUUGUUGGGUUUGAGAUACAAGUCAAAACAGGCCCCAAUAACAGAGAUGUUCUGUCCUCUCCAAUCAAGAGAAUGCAUGCUACGCAACUCCCAAUAGAUCUUGUAGAACACAGACACUUUUGAAAUACUAUCUACAAUAUUUUAAAUAAGAAUGUGAUGGAAAGUAACUUAAAUGAAU